RNAcentral lists this ribosomal RNA (300 nucleotides) under uncultured Geoglobus sp. RNAcentral's name for it is "partial 16S ribosomal RNA". It matches the Rfam family "Bacterial small subunit ribosomal RNA", at positions 496 to 795 of the family's 1533-position model. Lineage: Archaea; Methanobacteriati; Methanobacteriota; Archaeoglobi; Archaeoglobales; Archaeoglobaceae. The record is from RNAcentral.
GCGAACUCAGGGCCACAGGCGGCGGGAAUAGGUAGGCGGCAGACGUGGGCCGGAGUGACUGGGCAGAAAGGGCGGGCAGGCUGCUAUCGACGUCCAGGGUGAAAUCCCAGAGCUCAACUCGUGGACUGCCUUGGAGACGGGAUGGCUUGAGGAUCGGAGAGGCAAGUGGAAUUCCACGUGUAGCGGUGAAAUGCGUAGAGAUGUGGAGGAACACCUGUGGCGAAGGCGCCUUGCUGGCCGAUUUCUGACGCUGAGGCGCGAAAGCGUGGGGAGCAAACAGGAUUAGAUACCCCGGUAGUC